AUUGAACGCUGGCGGCAGGCUUAACACAUGCAAGUCGAGCGGGGUGAUGGUGCUUGCACUAUCACUUAGCGGCGGACGGGUGAGUAAUGCUUAGGAAUCUGCCUAUUAGUGGGGGACAACAUCUCGAAAGGGAUGCUAAUACCGCAUACGUCCUACGGGAGAAAGCAGGGGAUCACUUGUGACCUUGCGCUAAUAGAUGAGCCUAAGUGGGAUUAGCUAGUUGGUGGGGUAAAGGCCUACCAAGGCGACGAUCUGUAGCGGGUCUGAGAGGAUGAUCCGCCACACUGGGACUGAGACCCGGCCCAGACUCCUACGGGAGGCAGCAGUGGGGAAUAUUGGACAAUGGGGGGAACCCUGAUCCAGCCAUGCCGCGUGUGUGAAGAAGGCCUUAUGGUUGUAAAGCACUUUAAGCGAGGAGGAGGCUCUUUUGGUUAAUACCCAAGAUGAGUGGACGUUACUCGCAGAAUAAGCACCGGCUAACUCUGUGCCAGCCGCCGCAGUAA
Molecule: ribosomal RNA, 503 nt
Filed under: uncultured bacterium
Lineage: Bacteria
Description: partial 16S ribosomal RNA
Rfam family: Bacterial small subunit ribosomal RNA
Source: RNAcentral